This is a long non-coding RNA of Caretta caretta (loggerhead turtle), 1457 nucleotides long. RefSeq lists it as uncharacterized. The record is from RefSeq and is a predicted model, not a curated record. NCBI's taxonomy places the organism in Eukaryota, Metazoa, Chordata, Testudines, Cheloniidae.
GCUGCUUGCCACUUCCGGGGCUCAGCGCGGAAGGCAGUGCCAGAACAGGCAGAAAGCCUGCCUUAGCACCCACACUGCGCUGCUGACUGGGAGCUGCCGGAGUUCCCACUACAAUAGAAGCCUGCACAGCUGAAAGAGAGAUUCAUCAAUAUACGUCCCCCAAACUCACUGGAGAGCCAUGCCUGGAACAUAGAUAUUUUGGCAAAGCUGUCUAUACAUGAGAAUAAAACCUGUAACUGUGGAAAACUUUUCUGCAAUUAUAGCAAUGGUCUUCUUGAACAGCUGUUAAGCAGCUAAGACUUUAUGGGCCUGAUUUUCAACUGGACCUCAACCUGGACACUACUUUUCCUGGAUAUUCGCACUUCACACUGCUGAUAUGAGGAAAGGAAAAAAGCUGUACCACUUUCGUUUUUCCCACCCCCAAUAAUUUGAGACUAACUAAAAAAAAAUGUUUUCUCUUUAUCAAUAUUUACUUUCUAUCACUCUAUGAAAUUAUCACAGUGGUUGAAUGCUGAAUGAAUCACGAGAGGAGAAUGGAAGCAUUUCAGAAAAUUCUUAGCACAUGGACCUAGAGGUUGUUUUGUUGAACUUUUUGAUCUAUAAAUCAAUUACUCAUUCAACAACAGAAUAUGUAUAUUAUAUAACCUUUUAUAACUGUGUAUGCAUUCCUUUAUAUUUAAUAUAUUUAUAAUCCAUAAAGGAAUGCAUACAGAGACAUAAAAUAAUACAUAAUAAUAAAACUACACUGUAUAGCUAAUGAAACUAGUUCAUAAUAAGAAUCAAUGUUUUGCAGAAAUAAUUUGUUAUAUGUUUAUCUGAUGGAAAAUUCACAAAUUCCAGAUAUUGCAAGUACAACUACUGCCCUGUAACUGAUAUAGAUAAACAUUUUCCAAAUGCAAAUAAGCAAUUAUUUCACAACUAAAAAAAAUAAAUAGCAUUAAUUUUUGUAAAUUAAAGUAAGUGAAUAACAAGACAAAUCCCAAGAGGAGGAAAUGUAUUCAUUCAGAUUACUUGUAGAAUGCAGAAUGGCAUAAAUAUAAAGGGAAGGGUAAACAGCUUUAAAUCCCUCCUGGCCAGAGGAAAAAACCCUUUCACCUGUAAAGGGUUAAGAAGCUAAAACAACCUUGCUAGCACCUGACCAAAAUGACCAAUGAGGAGACAUGUUACUUUCAAAGCUGGAGGGGGUGGGGGGGGAACAAAGGGUUCUCUCUGUCUGUGUGUUGUUUUUGCCGGGACCAGAGCAGGAAUGCAGGUCAGAACUCCUGUAAAAAGUCACUAAGCAAUCUAGUUAGAUAUGCAUUAGAUUCUGUAUUGUUUAAAUGGCUGAUAAAAUAAGUUGUGCUGGAUGGAAUGUAUAUUCCUGUUUUUGUGUCUUUUUGUAACUUAAGGUUUUGCCUAGAGGGAUUCUCUAUGUUUUGAAUCUGAUUACCCUGUAAGGUAUUUACCAUCCUGAUUUU